AUACGUAGGGGGCAAGCGUUAUCCGGAAUUAUUGGGCGUAAAGGGUGCGUAGGCUGCCUUAUGGGUCAGAGGUUAAAGGCUACGGCUUAACCGUAGCAUGCCUUUGAAACUAUAGGGCUUGAGUGCAGGAGAGGAGAGUGGAAUUCCUAGUGUAGCGGUGAAAUGCGUAGAUAUUAGGAGGAAUACCAGUGGCGAAGGCGACUCUCUGGACUGCAACUGACGCUAAGGCACGAAAGCGUGGGUAGCGAACAGGAUUAGAUACCCUGGUAGUCCACGCCAUAAACGAUGAGUGCUAGGUGUUGGGGGUCAAACCUCGGUGCCGCAGUUAACGCAUUAAGCACUCCGCCUGGGGAGUACGUUCGCAAGAAUAAA
This 372-nucleotide ribosomal RNA is filed under the name uncultured bacterium. Its description in RNAcentral is "bacterial SSU rRNA". It matches the Rfam family "Bacterial small subunit ribosomal RNA", at positions 523 to 898 of the family's 1533-position model. The record is from RNAcentral.